This 253-nucleotide ribosomal RNA is filed under the name uncultured bacterium. Its description in RNAcentral is "partial 16S ribosomal RNA". It matches the Rfam family "Bacterial small subunit ribosomal RNA", at positions 524 to 776 of the family's 1533-position model. The record is from RNAcentral.
UACGUAAGGUGCGAGCGUUAAUCGGAAUUACUGGGCGUAAAGCGUGCGCAGGCGGUUUUGUAAGACAGGCGUGAAAUCCCCGGGCUCAACCUGGGAACUGCGCUUGUGACUGCAAGGCUAGAGUACGGUAGAGGGGGAUGGAAUUCCGCGUGUAGCAGUGAAAUGCGUAGAUAUGCGGAGGAACACCGAUGGCGAAGGCAGCCCCCUGGGUCGAUACUGACGCUCAUGCACGAAAGCGUGGGGAGCAAACAGG